Non-coding RNA from Picea glauca (white spruce), 162 nucleotides. NCBI's taxonomy places the organism in Eukaryota, Viridiplantae, Streptophyta, Pinopsida, Pinales, Pinaceae. The record is from Rfam.
AUGGAUCAUUACCGAGAUUCCCCACUGUCCCUAGCUACUAUAUUAUAGAGAAACCACAUCCAAGGGAAUGGGCUUGGUAGAAUUAGCGGGGAAAGAAGACCCUCAUGUUGAGAUUGAAUCUAGUCCUAACCCAUUCAUAGUUUGGGAAAAUUAGGGCAUAGU